AUCAGAUUGCUGUGAGGAGGAAAUGAGGCUGCUACAGGAAAAAGAAAGAAAAUGACAACGUUUGGCUCAUGCCAAGAAGUGGUAUGCCUCUACCUUUGGCCUGGUAUGACUGCUCUCACAAAGGGGCCAGCAAAGAAAAUGCUUUUGCUGGAGGCCAGAGUCAGCUUCUUUUUGGCUAGCGUCAACCUGAAUGCAAUUGACUCCACUGAUCAGCGGAUACGUGAUCACCUACAUCGUGCCAAUCACUCUGCUAGAUGUUGAAACUACAACGACAGUAGAAUAAAAUAGAAUGGAAUAAAAUCA
This 303-nucleotide long non-coding RNA is filed under the name Felis catus (domestic cat). RNAcentral describes it as "lncRNA (ENSFCAG00000046303.2)". Lineage: Eukaryota; Metazoa; Chordata; Mammalia; Carnivora; Felidae. The record is from RNAcentral.